This 253-nucleotide ribosomal RNA is filed under the name uncultured bacterium. RNAcentral's name for it is "partial 16S ribosomal RNA". It matches the Rfam family "Bacterial small subunit ribosomal RNA", at positions 524 to 776 of the family's 1533-position model. The record is from RNAcentral.
UACAGAGGGUGCGAGCGUUAAUCGGAAUUACUGGGCGUAAAGCGCACGUAGGUGGCGACGUAAGUCGGGUGUGAAAGCCCCGGGCUCAACCUGGGAAUUGCAUUCGAGACUGCGUUGCUGGAGUACGGAAGAGGAGGGCGGAAUUCCCGGUGUAGCGGUGAAAUGCGUAGAUAUCGGGAGGAACAUCAGUGGCGAAGGCGGCCUUCUGGUCCAGUACUGACACUCAAGUGCGAAAGCGUGGGGAGCAAACAGG